GUCGAGCGGAUGAUGGGAGCUUGCUCCCGGAUUCAGCGGCGGACGGGUGAGUAAUGCCUAGGAAUCUGCCUGGUAGUGGGGGACAACGUUUCGAAAGGAACGCUAAUACCGCAUACGUCCUACGGGAGAAAGCAGGGGACCUUCGGGCCUUGCGCUAUCAGAUGAGCCUAGGUCGGAUUAGCUAGUUGGUGGGGUAAAGGCCUACCAAGGCGACGAUCCGUAACUGGUCUGAGAGGAUGAUCAGUCACACUGGAACUGAGACACGGUCCAGACUCCUACGGGAGGCAGCAGUGGGGAAUAUUGGACAAUGGGCGAAAGCCUGAUCCAGCCAUGCCGCGUGUGUGAAGAAGGUCUUCGGAUUGUAAAGCACUUUAAGUUGGGAGGAAGGGCAGUAAGUUAAUACCUUGCUGUUUUGACGUUACCAACAGAAUAAGCACCGGCUAACUUCGUGCCAGCAGCCGCGGUAAUACGAAGGGUGCAAGCGUUAAUCGGAAUUACUGGGCGUAAAGCGCGCGUAGGUGGUUUGGUAAGAUGGAUGUGAAAUCCCCGGGCUCAACCUGGGAACUGCAUCCAUAACUGCCUGACUAGAGUACGGUAGAGGGUGGUGGAAUUUCCUGUGUAGCGGUGAAAUGCGUAGAUAUAGGAAGGAACACCAGUGGCGAAGGCGACCACCUGGACUGAUACUGACACUGAGGUGCGAA
RNAcentral lists this ribosomal RNA (701 nucleotides) under Pseudomonas sp. AR54. Its description in RNAcentral is "bacterial SSU rRNA". It matches the Rfam family "Bacterial small subunit ribosomal RNA", at positions 61 to 757 of the family's 1533-position model. The record is from RNAcentral. Lineage: Bacteria; Pseudomonadati; Pseudomonadota; Gammaproteobacteria; Pseudomonadales; Pseudomonadaceae.